AACGAACGCUGGCGGCGCGCCUAAUACAUGCAAGUCGAGCGAGAAGACGUAGCAAUACGUUUGUAAAGCGGCGAACGGGUGAGGAAUACAUGGGUAACCUACCCUCGAGUGGGGAAUAACUAGCCGAAAGGUUAGCUAAUACCGCGUACGCUCCUUGGACUUCGGUUCAGGGAGGAAAGCGAUACCGUGGGUAUCGCGCUCUUGGAUGGGCUCAUGUCCUAUCAGCUUGUUGGGAGGUAACGGCUCACCAAGGCUUCGACGGGUAGCUGGUCUGAGAGGACGAUCAGCCACACUGGCACUGCGACACGGGCCAGACUCCUACGGGAGGCAGCAGUAAGGAAUAUUGCGCAAUGGGCGAAAGCCUGACGCAGCGACGCCGCGUGGGGGAU
Molecule: ribosomal RNA, 389 nt
Filed under: uncultured bacterium
Lineage: Bacteria
Description: bacterial SSU rRNA
Rfam family: Bacterial small subunit ribosomal RNA
Source: RNAcentral